AACCUGUGAAACCAAAGCGAUCAAUUACAACCAGGGCCGCGAGGUUCUUUCCAUUACCUUGACAAUGUAAUCGAGAAAAGCCUUGUUCGUCAGAGGGAGGUCAAAACCGCCAGGAACCACGAGCACAUCGGGGCUUGGAACUUGCUCGAAACAAACCGGGGCUUCCACUCGCAGAUGACCAUCAUCGGCAAGGUACAGGCCAGCAGUCUCGCUCACGAAUUCCACCCGCACCCCCGGAAUUCUGUGUAGAACUUCGUAAGGCCCGAUCGCAUCCAGGGCUGUGAACCCGUUGAAUAUGGGAAUUGCCACCACAACCAUCGCUUAUCCCACUUAUGAUCUCGUCGCAAGACUGCUGUUUUAUUCUCUCUUGCAGGGUAGUUGCGUAGCCGGAAUUGUUACUGAAAGUUCACAGAAACUCACGUCAACCACUCUUCAAGACAAUGAAACUGGCCAAACCUGGAGCACGAGGGCCAAAAGAAUCAAAUCGAUUGUAUCGAAUCUACACAAUGAAAGUAAUAAUUAACAAAUAAAAGCAGCAAUUUACAACUUACCAAAACAAUAUUUCCAGACGAAUGAACUGUAAAAUUGACAGGACACGUACCAGUUAAUUUUGCAUAUCCAGGCAAGGAAUAUAUAAGAAAAAAACAUCCGGAUGCCUCGAGCUGCAAAAGCAACUGGAAAACUUUCUAUCAGGAUUUGGAAUAGACCCUCCUGUGGCCUCUAACUCCUGAAAUGUCAGCUUCUAAACCACCAUCACUUUCAAACCCGGUGUUAAAAGCUGAAGAAUGAAAAUCGCUUUGCGGGCUCCUUGCACCCAACCCUGAGUUUUGAGCCUUUUCUCUUUCCUCGGAUUCUUUCAGCAAGAAAUCGAUCCAAAGGUCCGCAAAUGACUGCACGAAAACAGAAUUGAAUAGGAAAAUACCAUGAACAAGAUUACCUGAUCAUUGCUUGUCGUAAAAGACGAAUUGUCAUUACCGCCAGAUAAGAUACCUCCGACGACACGCCCUGGGAGGCCAAAAACGCUUCUCAUAACACCCGGUUUCCCAGAAUUUUGAUGAGCGAGUCCAACCCUUCGUUUGUCAUCGUCGGAGAACCCCAGCAUACGGGCCAUUAAAUCAAGAACCUGUUAGAAAUAUUAGAAAAGUCAGAAUUUCAAAAAGCUCCAACUACCUCGUGGUUAUGUCCUCUCUCAAAAUAUGUCACGAGCAAUUUGAUAACAAUGCGCCUAAAAGAAGAAAUUUAGCCAGUACAUGAUACGAACCUCUUUACCUGUCUACGGAAUAAUCUGAAUCUGAAGACAUCCUGUUUAGACGGAUCAUGCUUUCUUCCAGAGCACGGCGUAACCUGCAUUUUCUGUGUUUUUUGUUGAUUUUCAAGCCCUUUUCGUUCCUCGACGUGUACUUUCUCUACAACUUCUUUCUUCUGUGCUUCUACUACCUCAACCAUCCGCUUUGCUGCCUGUUGAACAAAUAUGUAAGUUGAAUCUUUCAUUGACCGACUACUUACUUCCAAACUGUCCGAAAACUUCCUGAGAUCUUCCUUUGCAGUAUUGAGUUCUCGUUGAAUGCGCUCCUGCAAUAAUCAACUUAAGCAGCUUCCCAAUCGAUCAAGAGUACCUUCGCAUCAGUUUCUGCAUAGUACUGCCCAAGUGCCACUUGGAGAUUGGCUAUCUCCUUGUCUCUAGCCUCCAAGACGGAAUAAGAGUUCACAAGCUUAGACUUUAGAGAUUCAAUCUCCACCUUCGAUGCCUGCAAAUCUUCAUUCGAUCUUUUACUGGUAUCAGUUUGAGAAGAUAAAGCCUGCGCUAACGCUUGCUCCAGCUGUAUGACACGGGCACAAGUUGCUGAAAAUUUUCCCUCAAGUAUAGCAAUCUGCUCGCUAUCUCGGUCCAUUUUUUCUGAGUCGGCAUUUUCCUGUUUACAAUCCAGCGUUAAAACAAUGAAACCAGACGGUGUGUCAUGGACGGUGCUCAUCACAGCCUUGGGCCAUAGCCAGCAGAGCUCGAGCGCGGAGCUCGUGUUGAGCAAAAUGCCGCAGGUGUCGGAGAUCUCCUGGAACGCUCUCCUCUCGGCCCACGCUCGCGAACGAUGCUCGCCAUCGAUCGAGAAGGACCUUCACGGGCCCUGGAGCAUCUUCAAGAACAGGAUGGAGAGGAGGGACGAUCUCUCGUGGACGAUAAUGGUAUCCGCCUUCGCGGACUCGUCCACGCCUGAGAAAUCUCGCCGGGUCUUCGAUCGAAUGCCACAGUGGAGCUUGCUGUCGUGGAAUGCGCUGCUACGAUCUUACGUCCAGGCCGGUCGCAUCACAGAGGGAGUGUGGAUCUUCUCGCGUGCCAUGCCGCAGCGCAACAGCUUCUCCUGGAACAUCCUCAUUGCGGCUCUCUCUCAGAGCAGCCACCUCGGCGAUGCGAGGGAGCUCUUUGCCGCCAUGCCCGCUCGUAGCAUUGUGUCGUGGAACUCGAUGAUCCAGGCGCUGGCCCUCAAUGGCGAGCCACGGGCCGCCAUCGCGCUUUACUGCGGCAUGGACCAGGAAGGCAUCCCUCCCAGUGAUGCCACCUUUGCGAGCAUCCUCGAGGCGUGCUCCAUUGCCUCGGCGCUCGAGCAAGGCAUGGAAAUCCACCGGGAUAUCGCCAUUGCCAAUCUGGUGAUCAAGGCUUCGCUCGCAAGCGCACUCGUCAACUUCUAUGGCCAGUGUGGCGGCGGCCUGGAUCGAGCCCGGGAGAUCUUCCACGGGGCUCCUCCUGCAGCGGUGUCGGGGUGGAAUGCGAUGGUCGCAGCGCUGGCGAGGCAUGGGCAUGGCCAUCAAGCGGUGGAGCUCUUCAUCCGGAUGCUGCUCGAGGGAAUGGAGCUGGACAGUGUCGCAUUCCUGGGAAUUCUCACUGCCUGUGGCUACGCGGGGAUGGUGGAGGAGGCGAGGGAGCUAUUCGUCCUUAUGGCGGAGCAUGGGAUCGCCGCUGGAGCCGAGCACUACCACUGCCUAGUGGAGGUGGUGUGCCGGGCGGGGGAGCUCGAGCGAGGUGUGGAGCUGACUGUAAGCAUGCCUUUCCAUCCGGGCGUGAUUCCAUGGAACAUGAUACUAAACGUGUGCAGCACUGUUCUGGUGGAUGGGAAAGUUGGCGCCUGGGUUGGGGGCGAGAUUAUGUUGCUGGAACCCGUGGAGUCUGCGCCGUAUGUGAUGCUCUCCAACCUUUCCACUGCCUGCAUUUAGCUAUAAUUAUUUGAGCUCCACUGGCACUAAGAAAUCCUUCUCACCUUGACAUGGAUGAUCUUCUUUGUCUCAGCUUUGAAAGGGUUUUCCAUCUCGGCAGGAUAUAAUUAUUUGAGCUCCACUAGUGAUGAGGUGAUGGCAGCAGCAGCCACCACUCUGGACUACUAAAAUUUUAUAUUUUUACCUAUAAUUCUUUCCACCAAAGGUUUUGACUACUUUAAAGAUGUACUAUAACUAUCAAUAUGUUGUUGAAAUUUUAAUAUAGGAUGAAUAAUAUCAUUUAGCUUCUAUUGUAUCAUUUUUAAAUUGUUAUUAAAUCAUAGAUAAAAUAAUAUUUUCAUUAAGAAAAUUUUGUAAGAUAUCCAUCAUCUUUUACUGCAAUGUUGCUUUUAUAACUUUUGAUAAAGUGAUAUCUUCCUGCUCCAUAUUUAAAUUUUUUUUAGUAUAAAUUACCUUUAUAGUAGUCUUUAGUUGAAUUCUUUUUAAUGCUGCACAUUUCAAUGAAUAUUUUCCUGCUCAAAUUUUUAUAAGUAUUUUAAAAUUAUAAUUAAUAAGUGAAUUACCUUUGUUAUAGCUUCCAAGUCAAGUUUUUUAAAAUCUUGUUAACAAUAAAAUAAGUCAUCUGACCCAGGUUUUAAGAUUGUAUAUAAAUGUGAUAGUUGAGUUUCAUAGUCUAGUUAAUUUACUCUUCUUGUUUGAUAUAAUAACUUUUGCUUCAUGCUUAUAAAAGUUUCUUUUGGUUGCCCAUAUAUAAUUAUACUAAGUUAGAAAAGCUCAAUCACUGUGUUUUUUACUUUUGACAACAAAAUACCAUAUAACUGGAUCUGAAGAGGAUUAUACAUGGAAUUUGUGAGUAUUGUCCUUGUCAAAUUUUAUUUGAAAGUUGUUAAUAUUUCUUGCUUUAACAAUCACACCAUCGAUUAGCUUUUUGUAUGCAUAGAUUCGAAUAAAACCAUGAUCUUUAUAAUAAUUAAUAAAUCAAUACCUCAUAUGAACCUUAGUAAUAAAUUAGUGAAUUGCCCCAUCUAUCCUUCAAUUAUGAAUAUAUAUAUUUUUUAGACGAGAGUAUAACCUUUAUAUUUGCAUGGAAUGCCUCAAUCAAAAUAUUUGUCUACUUCGAGCAGCAACAACCCACAUAUCUAUUAAAUAUAUAUUAAAAUAAAUUAUAAAAAUCAAAAAUUAGUUCAUUUACCAACUGUAAACAACUAAAUUUUUAAUUCUAAUUUAAUCACUUAAUCAUGUUGGAAGAAUCUCACUGUUAACCUCCAUAAGUCUUGGUUUAGAAGCUUGUGUCCAAUCUAUUAUCUGCACUAGGAUGUUCUACACUGUCUGGGUAAAAAAAGCAAAAGCUGAUUUUUUCCUGUUCUUUUCUUUUUGAAAAGCUGUACUGUUUUGUUCUUCAGGUUUGGUUCAUCAGGACAUUCACAUGGACAACGUGAUCCGUGACUAUUUAUCAACAAGGAAUUUUAUAUUGAUUGAUCUCAAUUGGUUGGAGAGCCAAGUGAUGUUGGUGAGUCUUUUCUGACCGGCUGAACACAAACGAUUCUGAGGGAAGGCUGCUAUUACACCUUCGGAUCAGAUCUUCAUCAGCUUGGGCUGCUGCUGGAGAAAACAGCAGUCCCUCUGUCUCUGUUGGCUUGGGAUUUUAUCAGCCAGCUCAAAUCUCAUGGGCAGAAGUAAAUUUUGUGAUAAUUCAUAACAAAUUGUAGCAAAUUGCUGAUGCUAAUAUGUUUCUGACAGUGUUUCUGUGACGACUGUGAGGCAACACGUGUGACAACUUGAGGCAACACGAGUGGCUUGUUGCUGGCAAUACAAACAGCAAGAACAAUUAGCUGAGCACACUGUUUGAGACAUAUUAGCUUCUGUAUAUUUUUGAUUCCUCGAGUCCAGGCUCUCGGAACAGUUCUACACCAAGCUCUACACGAAGAUGGAAAAAAUGAUAAAAAUCUCACUUUGACAUCGUGUUCGUGAUUUUUAUGCCUUCUUAAUUAUCAGAUGCCACAAGAGAUUUAGCAUAGCGAAUCCAUUCGAGAAUCUUUAUUCAGAGGAAUAAACGAGAUCACUGAUUUUGAAGAGAAGGCAAGGCUGCGGUGAUCUUUCUAGCCAGAUCCACAACCUCCUUGCUUGCUUUCCCCACGCUGCCCGAAUCGAAUGGCGGCUGGGGAUCAUACUCAAUCGCCAGUUGGACAGCCUUGGCCAUUGUUUCAUCUGCUAGCAAGGCUGCCACCUCCAAAUUCGAGUCGAUCCCAGCCGACACGCCGGCGGACAUGAUAAUCUUCCCCUGCAUCCCACGAAUUGAGCUCAUUAGCCCACCAGAAAACGAAUCUAGCGAACUCACCUGACGUAUAUAUCUCUGAUGAACAGGAGUAACUCCAUAAGAAGCGAGGUUGUCAAAAGCUGCCCAGUGCGUCGUCCCCUUGAGGCCAUGGAGGAUUCCAGCAGCUCCCAAGAGGAGCGCUCCAGUGCACACAGAAGUGGUGUACAGGCUUGUUUUGUGAACCUGUGAAACCAAAGCAAUCAAUCACAACCAGGGCCGCGAGGUUCUUUCCAUUACCUUGACAAUGUAAUCGAGAAAAGCCUUGUUCGUCAGAGGGAGGUUCUUGACAGGACCGCCAGGAACCACGAGCACAUCGGGGCUUGGAACUUGCUCGAAACAAACCGGGGCUUCCACUCGCAGAUGACCAUCAUCGGCAAGGUACAGGCCAGCAGUCUCGCUCACAAAUUCCACCCGCACCCCCGGAAUUCUGUGUAGAACUUCGUAAGGCCCGAUCGCAUCCAGGGCUGUGAACCCGUUGAAUAUGGGAAUUGCCACCACAACC
This 6026-nucleotide long non-coding RNA is filed under the name Selaginella moellendorffii. Its description in RNAcentral is "long non-coding RNA (SMOE_LNC000573)". The record is from RNAcentral. Lineage: Eukaryota; Viridiplantae; Streptophyta; Lycopodiopsida; Selaginellales; Selaginellaceae.